Molecule: ribosomal RNA, 658 nt
Filed under: uncultured bacterium
Lineage: Bacteria
Description: bacterial SSU rRNA
Rfam family: Bacterial small subunit ribosomal RNA
Source: RNAcentral
UAUGCCGCGUGUGUGAAGAAGGCCUUCGGGUUGUAAAGCACUUUUGUCAGGAACGAAACGGUGGGGGCUAAUACCUCCUGCUAAUGACGGUACCUGAAGAAUAAGCACCGGCUAACUACGUGCCAGCAGCCGCGGUAAUACGUAGGGUGCGAGCGUUAAUCGGAAUUACUGGGCGUAAAGCGUGCGCAGGCGGUUGUGCAAGACAGAUGUGAAAUCCCCGGGCUUAACCUGGGAAUGGCAUUUGUGACUGCACGGCUAGAGUGUGUCAGAGGGGGGUAGAAUUCCACGUGUAGCAGUGAAAUGCGUAGAUAUGUGGAGGAAUACCGAUGGCGAAGGCAGCCCCCUGGGAUAACACUGACGCUCAGGCACGAAAGCGUGGGGAGCAAACAGGAUUAGAUACCCUGGUAGUCCACGCCCUAAACGAUGUCAACUAGUUGUCGGGUCUUAAUUGACUUGGUAACGCAGCUAACGCGUGAAGUUGACCGCCUGGGGAGUACGGUCGCAAGAUUAAAACUCAAAGGAAUCGACGGGGACCCGCGCAAGCGGUGGAUGAUGUGGAUUAAUUCGAUGCAACGCGAAAAACCUUACCUACCCUUGACAUGUCAGGAAGCCCGCUGAGAGGUGGGGGUGCUCGACAGAGAGCCUGAACACAGGUGCU